This 1411-nucleotide unclassified non-coding RNA is filed under the name Hevea brasiliensis (rubber tree). Lineage: Eukaryota; Viridiplantae; Streptophyta; Magnoliopsida; Malpighiales; Euphorbiaceae. The record is from RNAcentral.
AAAAAAAAACCCACAAAUAUGCAUUUGUGUGUGGAUGUGAAGGGAUUUAACAAUUUCAUAUAUUACAUAGUUGGCAGAAGUACAAAAGGUAGCAUAGAGAUAAAGCUAAACCACCUCUUACUAAAAGAACACUAAGCCACUUGUACACAACCCCUGCUUAAAAUCUUCACAAGCAAGGGAAAAGGGAACAAAAAGGGAAAAAGAAAAGGAAAGUACACACCACUUCCCCUAUCAUCAUCCAAACUAAACAAUUUGAUGAGCUUGCUAAACUCGCUGCUCAUGCAGGCACAGUACUUUGCAGGUGCAACAUUGUGCAUUAAAAAUGACAAUGUACAAAAUAUUUUGAGGCGCUCCCCACAGUCACUGCUCAUGCAGAGAACAGAAUGCUUUGCAGAUGCAACAUUGUGCAUUAAAAAUGACAAAGCUACACCUAGCAGAGCUCUUCUGAUCUUGCCUCAAGUUGAUUCUGUUCCGCAAUACAAUAACAAGCAUGCCUGAAAAAAGCAAGAAAUGAAAGCCAGCAAAUAAUAUAACACUUAAACAAGCAUGCCCAAACUGCUGGCUUUCUCUCUUAUUGGCAGCUAUGUGGACAGAAAAAGCUUCCAAUUCAUCUGAUUUCUGCUAUCUCACGCUAUUGAUGUUAAGCUUAACCUGCUACUUAGAACUGGUUUCUGCACAGCUUCCUCCUCAACUCCACCCACAGUUUUUAGCAACAUCCCAACAGCAGCAUUCGGCUCUAACUCUUCCCGCAAUCCAUCUUGAAAAACUCCACUGCCAUCUGCACACACAUUUUCCAAAUGACACAUUGAAUCUGCGUCACCAGAAUCACUUCGAGAGUAUCCCAGGUUAUUACUUCCUUCAACACUCCCAUCAGCGCUUCCAUUGUUCCCCUCAUUGCUGCCUGCUAUUGAUUCAUUUCCAUUAUCCUCACUUGAGCCAACCUCGCUUGAAAGGGAGGUGAUUACACUGGAAUUUGAUGUAAACCCCCCCUCAACAUCAUCAGAGCAAAAUCUCUUUUCAUCAAUUUGACACAUUUCAUUCCCUUCAGCAAAUGCCAAGCAUGUAGGAGAUGUGCCACCAAACUUGUGACUGAUAAUAUCAGGAGAAAAAGAAUCCCGCCUCAGAGGACUAAUUGAACAUCGUUUCUCUAGCAUAUCAUUUUUCACAUCCACUUCAUCAGGAUCCUUUUUCCUCUUAACGCCUCUCUCUCCAGAGCCAGUGCGACAAGCACCACCAUCUUCAUAGCAUAAUUUAUCAGACUGUUGCUGUGCUGUGACCCUAGGAUGUCGAGGACGUCUAUAACCAUCUGGAAAAACAUAAGAAGGGAUCUGCUUCCUACGAACAUGAGAGACAUAAAUUUCCAUUCCAGGUUUCCAAAACAUAUACAUGUUUAUGGAAUGCCUAAAUUCAU